AUGGCUUUGCGGAGUGGCUUCUUCACGUACUCAGCGUGAACUCCUCGCUUCGUUGAGAAGCGCGCAAAUGAUUGAGAGAGGCGGAGGGCUGGAGUGUGAGGCGCCUGCAGUGCAACCGUAAGGCAAGCCUGAUUCGUCAUGCGGCUCUUCUUGGCCCUGUGUUUCUGUUUGCUGGCUUGGGCGAAGACGACGUCAGCAAGCACAAAAUACUUUCUGACAUGUCCUGGCUUCCUAACAAGGGGCACCAAUGCAGAGUGUUACUUCGUACUGCCGUGUAACUGUAACGGCGGAUAUUUUGUGCUGCAACUUUUCGCCCGGUCGAAUAUCGAUAACGGCACUGAUACCCUGUUGCAAGGAAGGAAGUACACAGUGGGCA
Ornithodoros turicata is the source of this 376-nucleotide long non-coding RNA. RefSeq lists it as uncharacterized. Lineage: Eukaryota; Metazoa; Arthropoda; Arachnida; Ixodida; Argasidae. The record is from RefSeq and is a predicted model, not a curated record. The transcript has 3 exons.